CAACACCACACCAUGAUUACAGUGAACAGAUUUUAAGUAGUGUCUUUUGCAUCUGUUGGUGUUCAAAACGCAGUAAUUUUUGCCACUGAUGGUUGGCAAGAAAUAAGCAGAAGGACAAUUCCGAACUGUGCUGCUUACUGUGGGUUCAAGCAUUCAGAUUUGGAGAUGCCGGAAAAAGCCGGAAGUGAAAAUGAAACGAUUUCACUACUUUACCAAAGAAUUUGAAGAAAACUGAGAACAUUUCUGCGGUAUUUGAAACGAUGAUCAACCCUCUUGCUGACUCAGAAAUAUGGUUGCAAAAAGCUUCGGGAUUACUAUCCAAUGGAGGAAACUGCUGUGCCCCGAGGUCACAUGUGGUCACCGGGAGAGCAUACGGACAGCGGUGGGAAUUGAGCCUCUGCGAUGACUCGCUGGAAAAAAUAAUAAUUUCAUCCACAGGAAGAAGAAAAUGUUCUGUAUUCAGCCACCCAUCCUCUCCCUCACUUGGUCUCCCCGAGCAUCUGCCAACCCGUACUCCUUGCCCUGCCCCCGCCUUCUUAUUCUGGCUUCUUCCCCAUUCCUCUUCAGUCCUGAUGAAGGGUCUCGGUCCGAAAUAUCAACUGCUUAUUCCUCUGCCUGACCUGCUGAGAUCCUCCAGCACACUGAGUGUGUGGAGUGCAUAUUCCUUAAGAUUUUCAGCAUCAGCAGAAUCUCUUGUGUAAAUGAUUGCACAUUAAAAAUGGUCGCAAUAUGUUUCACAUAUUCCAUUGACAGAAAGUGUCCAUGUCACAUCCCACGAGCGUUGUGGAUAUACAGUACUGUGCAAAAGUCUUAGGCACCCUAGCUCUGUGUAUGCAUCUAAGACUUUUGCACAGUAUUGUGUUUGUCAAUGUGGAGCAGAGAGCCAGUUUGUAAAUCUGGUGGGAGCAAAGGAUGUUGGUAAUGGUGAGGGUGGUGUGCUGCGAGAGGUGGGUGGGACAGGUGGCAGAGAAGGAAUGCCAGGGGCGGGAUCCAAUUCCAAACAAUUGGUUUAUUGAUCAUUACAGAAUGUCUCUCUGGUGCCUUUUCCCAGAUUCCCCUCUCCCUGCCUCCUUCCCACUCUCAGUCCACAAUAGAGACCAUAUCAGAAUCAGGUUUAUCAUCACUCACAUAUGACAUGAAAUUUGUUUUUUUUUUGUGACAGCAGAAUAGUGCAAUACAUAAAAUCACUGUAGUGCUGUACAAAAGUCUUAAGGCACCCUAGUUAUAUAUAUAUAUAUAUACCUAAGAUUUUUCCGCAGGACUGCAUAUGAACAUACUGGUUCUGCAGCUAACUAGAGGAAUCAGUGUGACAUUCUUUCCAGUGUAAUGUUGUGACUGGAAAUUGUGUUAGUGGUAAGGCUGGUUGUGGUUCUAUAUAUUAUAUAUAUCAAUUCAUGUUCAUUUACUGCCCAUUACGCCGCUGGUGUUUAGGGCAGCAGUGAAAGUCCUCCAUCUCUGGCGGUGUUCAGGGCUUCCUUCAUCAUGUCAGCAGCUUCCUCUCAGUUUUCACUACCGUCAGUCAUACAAGUCCCGAGCGGAGAUUCAGUAAUACUGUUGCACUCAGAUGUAGAGGUUUCUUCAUUGCUGUUUCCAUAACAAUUCUGUUUUACCAGUCAGGGUUGUCAGUCCUGAGCUGAACCCAUGAACCUAGGAGGACUGGUGGACCACUCUUAGUCUGUCCUCUGAUCUGUUCUGCAUGGGUGACCCCACCAAGAGCCAAAGCACAAGGCUUGUAGUCCUCUUAUAUCAAAGAUCAACUUUAUUCACCUCAGUUCUUUUACAGUGGCCCCAUGCUCUAAAUUCUCCCAUGAAGUGAAACAUCCCCUCCACACCAAGAAAGUUCAAGACCCCUCAGGACCUCAUUUGUUUUAUUCAAGUUAGUAUUUAACUAAAUGCUGAAGUCUUAACCAAAUCAUAAUUCUCACUCCCGAGAAAUGCAGUAUUUUCAAGUAUCAAGGAUCAACUUUAUUCAUUAUGUGCAUUUAUAUGUAUUAGGUACUAGCUGUGGUGUGUUAGACCAUCAGACCAUACGACCUCAGAGCAGAAUCAGGCCAUUCUGCCCAUCGGGUCUGCCCUGCCAUUCCAUCAUGGCUGAUUUAUCAUCAGCAUUGGUGCAAUAUACAACAAAAAAAACAACAUUCAACGAUUAUAAAAAAUGAAGAAUUAUAUAAAAAUAAGUUAGAGUUUAAUGUACAGAUAUGGAAAUAAUGUGCAUAAAUACUUAAAUACCAACAUGCAUCUGCUAUGUAAGCAAACAUUAUAAAAAGUGGUUUGAAGUGUUUACAGCACAGUGCAGUGGCUGAGGUAAUCGACUGAGGGGGUGGGGGGAAUAACUGGAAUGCUUGAUCAGAUUAACCACCCAUGGGAAAAAAACUUGUAAGACAGCGUGAAAAUGGGCAACUUUAUAAAUAUGCUGCUUUGUUUAUUAAUUUAUUUAGUGAUAAAGCGCGGAACAGUUCCUUCUGGCCCACUGCCCAGCAGUCCACCUAUUUAAUACUAACCUAAUCGCAGGGCAAUUUACAAUGACCAAUGGGCGACAUGGGAGCAUGGUGUUGUGGAGGGUUGAGAUAUGGUCACACUGAAGAACCUUUGUAUGCUUAGAUAUAGGGUGGCACCAUAGUGUAGAAGUUAGCACAACGCUUUACAGUACCAGUGACCUGAGUUCAAUUCCUGGCUGUAAGGAGUUUGUACGUUCUCCCUGUGACCACGUGGGCUUCCUCCAGAUGCUCUGGUUUCCUCCCACAUUCCAAAUCUGUACAGGUUGGUAGGAUAACGGCUCAUUGUAAAUUGUCCUGUGAUUAGGCUAGGAUUAAAUCAGGCGAUUGCUGGGCGGCUUGGCUUAAAGUUCUCGAAGGGCCUAGUCUGAGCUGUGUUUCAAUAAGUGAAUAAAUUAACUCAUGUGCACAUGGGAAGAACGCACAAACUUUCUAAUAACUAUGUUUAUAUGUAUCGACAAAUUAGUUGGAAUAAAGUGCCUUUGAAAUGUGACCUCAAUAGUGUAAAGGAAAACCUUCUAGUUCUCGUGUUCAUGAAAUCACGUUUAUGUAUAUUUUGCUUAAGCCAUAAAUAUUCAUUUUGUUCUUCUGAGGAAAGGAUUGCCCUUUAGAUACAGAAUAAUCCAUGAACUGAAAUACUUAUACCAGAAGACAGGAGUUUGUUAAUAACCGAUUAUUUCUGCGGUAGCAUACCCCUGAUUCACAGCAUCUUAUCCUACAGUUUGACUGUAAUUAAUCACCUAAAUCUCCAAACAAAACCCUCAGUGUGGUGUUAAUUGGUGGACCUGAGAAGGUGAGAUUGAGACGUGCCAAUUGCAGCGGUGGACAGAUGGUUUCAGAUUUUCACAAUGUGAUGUCUGUUAGCUAUCAAAUUAAAUUGGCAUUGUUUAUAUUGUUUUUAAUAGGAUAGGCCAUAUUUUUUGGCUUUACUUGGAACUGAAUAUAAACCAUCUGCAUCUUCUCUCUACGUAAUUGCACUGAACAGUAGAACAUCACCUACAAUUAACCAGUGAGUCAAGCUGGGGCCUUUGUGAUGCUGUGGUUGCCCAAGAGGUUAGCGGCUGAUAGGUUAAUAGUUUGAUAGGUUUUUAUUCGGAAAAAAAGCUGGUUUUGGUAAUACGAAAAAAACAUCUGUGGAGAGUGAGCACGUCGAGACGACCAGCUGGCAUAUUCCAGUCUGCUGGAGUUGCAGUGACGCUUGGCACAGCCACUGCUAGUGCUCGGUGGGGAAGGACCACAGUGUGGGGUUCUUCAGCUAUUGGACGGUGGGGGGCCGGGUUGGGUGACGAAGCCUCUUAAUUAUUGUCGUAGCGUACCACCCCAGGGGACCAUAUGAGUGGCAACAGUAUUAAGGAAUGUAAUUGAACCCUACUUAACACAUUGUCUAUGAACGUAACGAUGAAAAGGCAUUGCAUGGUUUAUCCUCGUAUUUUAGUUUAUUAUGAAUAAAGCUGAU
This is a long non-coding RNA of Mobula hypostoma (lesser devil ray), 3951 nucleotides long. RefSeq lists it as uncharacterized. The transcript has 3 exons. The record is from RefSeq and is a predicted model, not a curated record. Lineage: Eukaryota; Metazoa; Chordata; Chondrichthyes; Myliobatiformes; Myliobatidae.